CGAGAAAUGAACAAAUCCACUUUAUGUAUGUGACCUUGUGUUCAUUCUUCUGGACAGAGUGGAGUGAGGACAGUUUAACUGGUCAUCACUGUGAGAAUAAUGGUGGAAAUGAAACGGGAAGGUGCUCUUGCUGAUGCCUGAAUACUGGAGGAUUUUUUUGGGUGCAAAUCCGAAAUUCUGAAAAUGAAAAAUUACGCAUCUAAGCCGAACUCUGGCUGAGGACGGCGGUGUGUUGGCCUCCUGGAAGAUCCAAGGUCGAGCACAUGAAGUGGAGAAGGAGACGGCUUCAGGGGAAAGUAUAUAUCAGCGGGGUGGGACGUGCUAUUCAUGUUCUCUGUUUCUAAUUCUCUGGAUGUUUUUUCACUUUCCUUUUCUAAAUGUAGAUCCAAUGUGCUUUUUAAUUCAGUCACAUUUAUGUAUGUUUUCAUUUCCCAUACAGGCAGCUUGGACUCAGUCGUCUGUCCUCAUCUGAUGAGCUCCACUUCCCGUUCCUCUGAGCUGGACAUACAGAUGGCGCAUUAUGUUCCGCUGGUCACAGAGAGGAACUUGUGUCUCCUCAUUCUCUGGUUAAUCCUGAGUGAAAUCCUAGAACCAGCUGGAGCACCUCCAUGAUCACUGCUGCUGUGACUGGAGCAGUGGAUUUAUCCAGGAGCUGUGUGAUGUAGGUAGUUUCAAGUUGUUGGGCUGGAUGCUAAAGAUCACAGGAACCUGAAACUGCCUGAGUCACACCAGCUGCAUGUCAACAGACCGAGAACAUCCAGCGUUCAACCCAACACCUCCUCUAGCAGCUGAGCAUCACUCUGCUUCUAAAUGGACAGUCUGAUGAUAAAACUAACUGCAGGCUUUUUAGAUUGCCUGCUUCUGCUAAAAGCCACAUGUGAAUUCAGAACACAUGCUCUUUGAAUAUGAGACUUCUAGUGGAUACACAGUGGUUUCCCAUCUGUUCCUGCAACAGAAGCCUCAGUAAAUACUCUGUUUGCUGCAAGGUGCUUCCAAAUGUCUUGAGUGAAUGAGUGUCUUGAAUGAAAAAGAGGCAGCUAAGUCUAGUUAACCCUCCUCCUCUUUCAUAUAAUGCUGAUGAACAACACCAGGCGCUAUCUGGGACUCAGGACGUGUUUAAAUUACACUUCUAAUGAGAAUCUGUGCACCCAAUAAAAUAACUCAUUGACUGAACUUUUUAAAGUCCUGCUAAGUUUUUCCACUUUAUCAAAUAGCUUCUUGCCACAUUAAGCAAUUCUGUUAGUUUAAUUUAAUCUGCUUGUGUUGAGUCAACUUAAUUUAUUAGGGUUGAUUCGACUUAUUUCCAAGAGUCAGGUUCUACUUAAAUUAAUCGAGUUAGGUGAACUAAGAAAUACACGAGUGAAUGAAGUUUAUCCAAAGCAGUUAAGUGAAACGGUGCAACAGGAUUACUUAAUGCUGAAAGGAAUUCAUUUAAUUACAUGGAAAUACUUUACCUGGUUUAAUCAAGUUAAUCCAAAUAAUAUGAAACUCAAGUCUACAGUUUGGUGUCAGAGGUGGAAAUAUUGAACAAGACAAACUGGAGAUCUGCUUCCCAGAUUUGGCAGUGCCAAUAAAAUAGAUAGUGAAUAUGUAUUCUGUACUUAAUGC
Molecule: long non-coding RNA, 1608 nt
Organism: Amphiprion ocellaris (clown anemonefish)
Lineage: Eukaryota; Metazoa; Chordata; Actinopteri; Pomacentridae
Source: Ensembl